UGGCAAGCGUUGUCCGGAAUUAUUGGGCGUAAAGCGCGCGCAGGCGGUCCUUUAAGUCUGAUGUGAAAGCCCACGGCUCAACCGUGGAAGGUCAUUGGAAACUGGAGGACUUGAGUACAGAAGAGGAAAGCGGAAUUCCACGUGUAGCGGUGAAAUGCGUAGAGAUGUGGAGGAACACCAGUGGCGAAGGCGGCUUUCUGGUCUGUAACUGACGCUGAGGCGCGAAAGCGUGGGGAGCAAACAGG
This 245-nucleotide ribosomal RNA is filed under the name uncultured bacterium. Its description in RNAcentral is "partial 16S ribosomal RNA". It matches the Rfam family "Bacterial small subunit ribosomal RNA", at positions 532 to 776 of the family's 1533-position model. The record is from RNAcentral.